AGAGUUUGAUUAUGGCUCAGGAUGAACGCUGGCGGCGUGCCUAAUACAUGCAAGUCGAGCGAGAAUCAGGGAAGCAGAGAUUCGUCAAAGCGGAACUGAGGAAAGCGGCGGACGGGUGAGUAACGCGUAGGCAACCUGCCCUUAGCAGAGGGAUAGCCAUUGGAAACGAUGAUUAAAACCUCAUAAAGCUGUUUUAACACAUGUUGGAACAGCCAAAGAUUUAUCGGCUAAGGAUGGGCCUGCGUCUGAUUAACUAGUUGGUGAGGUAACGGCCCACCCAAGGUGACGAUCAGUAGCCGACCUGAGAGGGUGAUCGGCCACAUUGGAACUGAGACACGGUCCAAACUUCUACGGAAGGCAGCAGUAAGGAAUCUUGCACAAUGGGGGAAACCCUGAAUGCAGCAACGCCGCGUGAACGAUGAAGGCCUUAGGGUUGUAAAGUUCUGAUCUGUGGGAAGAAGAAGUGACGGUACCACAGGAGAAAGCCCCGGCUAAAUACGUGCCAGCCGCCGC
Molecule: ribosomal RNA, 513 nt
Filed under: uncultured bacterium
Lineage: Bacteria
Description: bacterial SSU rRNA
Rfam family: Bacterial small subunit ribosomal RNA
Source: RNAcentral